RNAcentral lists this long non-coding RNA (846 nucleotides) under Homo sapiens (human). RNAcentral describes it as "long non-coding RNA NONHSAT207074.1". Lineage: Eukaryota; Metazoa; Chordata; Mammalia; Primates; Hominidae. The record is from RNAcentral.
GGCGUCUGUAUUAAACACCGUGCUGAGGCGGCUUCCUAUGCUAUCUCUCUUCCGAGGUUCUCACAGAGUUCAGGUUCCCCUCCAGACUCUUUGCACCAAAGCUCCCUCUGAGGAAGAUUCUUUGUCCUCAGUUCCCAUUUCUCCUUAUAAGGAUGAGCCCUGGAAAUAUCUGGAAUCAGAAGAAUACCAGGAGCGAUAUGGUUCUCGCCCCGUCUGGGCUGACUACCGCCGCAACCACAAGGGUGGUGUACCCCCACAGCGGACUCGGAAGACAUGUAUUCGUCGGAAUAAAGUUGUUGGGAAUCCCUGCCCCAUCUGUCGAGAUCACAAGUUGCAUGUUGACUUUAGGGAGUCUGUGUGAAGCAGCACAAGCGGUUGACCCAGGCCAUCCAGAAAGCCAGGGAUCAUGGUCUCCUCAUUUACCACAUCCCCCAGGUUGAACCACGGGACCUUGACUUCAGUACCUCUCAUGGGGCUGUGAGUGCUACUCCGCCAGCCCCCACCCUGGUCUCAGGUGACCCCUGGUACCCAUGGUACAACUGGAAACAGCCACCGGAGAGAGAACUGUCUCGCCUUCGCCGGCUUUACCAGGGUCAUCUCCAAGAAGAGAGUGGCCCCCCACCUGAGUCAAUGCCCAAGAUGCCCCCUAGAACACCAGCGGAAGCCUCCUCCACUGGGCAGACAGGCCCUCAGAGUGCUCUGUAGGAGCUGUAGACUGGGAAGAGAGGCCAGGCGUGGUGGCUCACUCCUGUAAUCCCAGCACUUUGGGAAGCCAAGGUGGGCUGAUCACUUGAUCCCAGGAGUUUGAGACCAGCCUGGGCACCAUGGUGAAACCUCGUCUUUACC